RNAcentral lists this small RNA (398 nucleotides) under Metapseudomonas resinovorans NBRC 106553. RNAcentral describes it as "Pseudomonas resinovorans NBRC 106553 Pseudomonas sRNA CrcZ". It matches the Rfam family "Pseudomonas sRNA CrcZ". Lineage: Bacteria; Pseudomonadati; Pseudomonadota; Gammaproteobacteria; Pseudomonadales; Pseudomonadaceae. The record is from Rfam by way of RNAcentral.
ACAACAACAAUAACAAACGCUUAACCCCACAAUAAAAACAAGACGUAUCGACUCCAGCACAAUAAAAACAAGACAGCGGAGGCGCAGCUAACUGAUUCUUUUGGAGAGGAGUUGCCCUUGGGGCCAGCCCCACAGCCAGGCAGAGAACAACAAAAACUGCUUCCAAGCAGCGCCAGAACUGGUUGGGUCACGGAAUGAUCAAGGCACCAUCAGCGUCCAAAGCAAUCCGUUUGCUAUUAACCCUCGAUUGGAGGGCAUGUCCAGAGGCGAAAGCCUGCUGGAGCGGGUCUAACAACAAAAACAUCAAGCCCAACACAAUAAAAACAAAGCACGCACCAAUUUUGGGGGGGAGCUUCGGCUCCCCCAGUAGCUUUACCUCCCUCAGCUUUGCCUCCUUU